RNAcentral lists this ribosomal RNA (301 nucleotides) under uncultured bacterium. RNAcentral's name for it is "partial 16S ribosomal RNA". It matches the Rfam family "Bacterial small subunit ribosomal RNA", at positions 509 to 809 of the family's 1533-position model. The record is from RNAcentral.
CAGUCGCCGCGGGAAUACGUAGGUGGCAAGCGUUGUCCGGAAUUAUUGGGCGUAAAGGGCUCGCAGGCGGUUUCUUAAGUCUGAUGUGAAAGCCCCCGGCUCAACCGGGGAGGGUCAUUGGAAACUGGGAAACUUGAGUGCAGAAGAGGAGAGUGGAAUUCCACGUGUAGCGGUGAAAUGCGUAGAGAUGUGGAGGAACACCAGUGGCGAAGGCGACUCUCUGGUCUGUAACUGACGCUGAGGAGCGAAAGCGUGGGGAGCGAACGGGAUUAGAUACCCCUGUAGUCCCUGUCUCUUAUAA